RNAcentral lists this unclassified non-coding RNA (351 nucleotides) under soil metagenome. RNAcentral describes it as "partial contains 5.8S ribosomal RNA, internal transcribed spacer 2, and large subunit ribosomal RNA". The stretch from base 1 to 120 matches the Rfam family "5.8S ribosomal RNA", at positions 35 to 154 of the family's 154-position model. The record is from RNAcentral.
GAUGAAGAACGUAGCGAAAUGCGAUAAGUAGUGUGAAUUGCAGAAUUCAGUGAAUCAUCGAAUCUUUGAACGCACAUUGCGCCCGCGAGUAUUCUCGCGGGCAUGCCUGUCCGAGCGUCAUUUCAACCCUCAGGGCCCGCCUGCUUGCAGGCGCGGCGCUGGUGUUGGGGAUCGGCUACCCUGCCGUCCCCCAAAUACAGUGGCGGUCUCGCUGCAGCCUCCCCUGCGUAGUAGCAACACUCGCAUGCGGAGCGCGGCGCGGCCACGCCGUAAAACCCCCGACUUUCUGAACGUUGACCUCGGAUCAGGUAGGAAUACCCGCUGAACUUAAGCAUAUCAAUAAGCGGAGGA